AACACUGUCUGGUAACGAU
Molecule: microRNA, 19 nt
Filed under: Ovis aries (sheep)
Lineage: Eukaryota; Metazoa; Chordata; Mammalia; Artiodactyla; Bovidae
Description: oar-miR-200a
Gene: oar-miR-200a
Source: miRBase by way of RNAcentral